This 256-nucleotide ribosomal RNA is filed under the name uncultured bacterium. RNAcentral describes it as "partial 16S ribosomal RNA". It matches the Rfam family "Bacterial small subunit ribosomal RNA", at positions 524 to 777 of the family's 1533-position model. The record is from RNAcentral.
UACGGGGGGAGCAAGCGUUGUUCGGAUUUACUGGGCGUAAAGGGCGCGUAGGCGGCCACCGCAAGUCAAUUGUGAAAUCUCCGGGCUUAACUCGGAAAGGUCAACUGAUACUGCGGGGCUAGAGUGCGGAAGGGGCUACUGGAAUUCUCGGUGUAGCGGUGAAAUGCGUAGAUAUCGAGAGGAACACCUGCGGCGAAGGCGGGUAGCUGGGCCGACACGUGACGCUGAGGCGCGAAAGCCAGGGGAGCGAACGGGA